RNAcentral lists this long non-coding RNA (403 nucleotides) under Cricetulus griseus (Chinese hamster). Its description in RNAcentral is "lncRNA (ENSCGRG00015040893.1)". Lineage: Eukaryota; Metazoa; Chordata; Mammalia; Rodentia; Cricetidae. The record is from RNAcentral.
AUUGCACUUGUGAAAACUGAGAGCCAGAGGCAAGUUACCUCACCUUGGCAGGGCUUUGAUGCGAACUUUCUCAUAACUCCCUGGCCUCGCUGGGCUCUGACUACGUCUGUGAAUCAAAUCCCAUUAUGCCAGCCAAGCAGUGGUGGCGCACACCUUUAAUCCCAGCACUCGGAAGACAGAGGCAGGUGGAUCUCUGUGAGUCUGAGGCCAGCCUGGUCUACAGAGUGAGAGUUCCAGGACAGCCAGAGCUGUUACACCAAUAUCCCACAUGUCCUUAAUCCUUUUAUUGUUGAUGGACGUCUACCAUGUUUCGUUUUUGUGAAUAGCACAGCAAUAAACACGGGUGUUGCCAGUACUUCUGUGGAGUGAUGGCAGAACCCUAUGGGUAUCUACCCAGGAGUGA